GAAAUGCGAUAAGUAAUGUGAAUUGCAGAAUUCAGUGAAUCAUCGAAUCUUUGAACGCACCUUGCGCCUUUUGGUAUUCCGAAAGGCAUGCCUGUUUGAGUGUCAUGAAAUCUCAAUCCCCCCGGGUUUAUGAUCUGGGUGGGGCUUGGACUUGGGCGUCUGCCGGUUGAACGGCUCGCCUCAAAUGACUCAGUGGAUCUCUCUGCAUCUGUGACAGACGUAAUAAGUUUCGUCUUGUCCCUUGCUGGAUGAGUCUGCUCACAACCUGCCAUCGCGCACCUUUGAAAUCUGACCUCAAAUCAGGUAGGACUACCCGCUGAACUUAA
RNAcentral lists this unclassified non-coding RNA (326 nucleotides) under uncultured Tremellales. RNAcentral describes it as "sequence contains ITS1". The stretch from base 1 to 105 matches the Rfam family "5.8S ribosomal RNA", at positions 50 to 154 of the family's 154-position model. The record is from RNAcentral. Lineage: Eukaryota; Fungi; Basidiomycota; Tremellomycetes; Tremellales.